RNAcentral lists this long non-coding RNA (3022 nucleotides) under Sus scrofa (pig). Its description in RNAcentral is "lncRNA (ENSSSCG00015008666.1)". The stretch from base 351 to 415 matches the Rfam family "mir-1255 microRNA precursor family". Lineage: Eukaryota; Metazoa; Chordata; Mammalia; Artiodactyla; Suidae. The record is from RNAcentral.
ACGGAGUCUUCUUAUGAAAGAAACACGUCUCCCAAGGCUUUGGCUGCCAUAGGUAGUGAUUCCCGUGGUGACCUGGGCAAAGUCGUCUGAAAAUAUCUGGGAGAGGAUCGCCCCUCUAGCUGCCGUCAGAGCAGGUGUGACUCAUGGAAGAGGUUAAAAUAUCCACUUUAGUGGGAGUUUGGAAGAAACAGAUCCAGAUCGUCCUGGAUGACUUUGAAGGGUUCAAGACGUCAGUGGAGGAAGCAGCUGCAGAUGUGGAGCAAAUAGCAAGAGAACCAGAAAUAGAAGCCUGCAAACGUGACUGAACUGCUGCCAUCUCGUGAUAAAGCCUUAGCAGAUGAGGAGCUGCCUUUUAUGAAUGAGCAAAGGAAGUGGUUUCUUGAGAUGGAAUCAGCUCUGGUGAAGAUGCUGUGAAGAUGGUUGAAAUGACAACAACGGACUUAGACUACUCCAUAAACUGAGCUAAGCAGCGUGGGGCUUGAGAGGCUGAGUCCGACUUUGAAAGAAGUUCUAAUGUGGGGAAAACGCAAUCAGCAUUGCAUGCUACAGAGAAAUCGUGCAUGACAGGAAGAGUUAAUCGAUUUGGUAGCCUUCGUCGUGGUCUUAUUUUAAGAAAUUGCCACAGCCAGCCCAGCCUUCAGCAGCCCCCACCCUGAUCCAUCAGCAGCAUCAAUGUGCAGGCAGGACCCUCCACCAGCAAAAAGACUGUGACUCACUAAAGCCUCAGAUGAUUGUUCAACCUCUUUAGCAAGAAAAUAUUUUUUAAAAUUAAGGGUGUCAGUCCCUGCUGCAGGUGCCUGAGGCAGGUCAAGAUGGAAAGGCCAGCUCAGAUUCACCACCACCGAAGUGCCCGAAGCGACGAGAAAGUAUCCCCCACCUUGUAAAUUCGGCUUCACUCCACUUUGAUUUUGCAAAAGAUCUGCAUUAGUACCUGUUUUCACGAACCAAAAGAAAUCCGGGAGGACUUUCACUUUUACAGGAGAAGGGGAGAAGCAGAGCUGGCGUUCAGGGCUGGCUCUGCGGUUAGUCACUAUACCUAUACCGUCAGCGCCACCCCAGGCAGCCCAGUGGCCCGGGCAGUCUCCUUUCCCGGGGGCCAGCCUUGGUGUCAAGCCCCAGAGCUCCAAGCAGCGUCCGUGAGCAUCCGGUUCUCUCUUCAUCGGCGUGAUACGUCCAGGCAGUACGGCACGGCCUCAGACUGGGGAGUAAUUCUAACUCCCGUGACUUCGUCGUGCCUCGAAGUAGAAGUCUAGACAUCUGGAUUUGGACAUCUGGAUUCAUCCCUUGCUGUAUCCUCUAGGUUCUUUAAGGACACCGUCAAAGAUGGUGACCGACGCAGACCCUUGUAAAACGUCACAAGACUGGCAUACUUGUAGGUGAUAAGGACGGAGAAAUAAAACAUAGGAUCUCAGCCCGGCCUUACAGGUGCUGCCCAAAGUCACAACAUCUGGAGCGCAGCCUGGAGCUGAGACGCGGGGGCUCUGCCGUGAGCCUGCUCGGCCCGGCCCCGAGGCUGGGCGCUCUCAUCCGGACCUGCUUUGGUGCAGGAGAGCAGGAUGGCAGCGGCCGGGAGGUUUCGCAUCCAGACUGAGCCAGGGUGAAGGCCUCCGAGCCAGGCUCGCUCUGCUGUGGCUUCGGCAGUUUCUCCUUCCAGGGGGACCUUCAGCCCCUCCGUCUGCUUUCGGCAGGUGGUGUGUGCAUGGGGAGCACACGUCCCGAGGGCUUGGCUCCGGCUCUGCCAUUGACCGUCCCGUGACCCUGGGCUCUAACUUCUUGCUGAGCCUCCGUUUUCUCUCGGGCAAAAUGCAGGUGCUAAUCAUCCCCACUUCAUGGAUUGCUGGGAUCACAUCUCUGUUGUGGAAAACUUUAGGGUAAACUAAAGUGCGCUAGAGGCAGAACAUCGGGUCUGGGCCGUGUGUCUGCCGAUUGGCUAGUUUAACCUUGAGAAAAACCUCUGCCACUGCCUGCCCGUCUGUUUCCGGUCUCCAAGCCCAGAUCUUUCUCUUCGCAGGCCCCAGACACGCCCCUGGUACAUGGAGAUAUCUCAUACUGGCAAUAAUAUAACAUUUCUUUUAUUUGAUGAUGUUAUUGAAUAAUUUUUUAUUUUUAAUCUAAGCAAACACUUAAGUUUAAAAAAACUAGUAACUAUGAAUCUUAACAUAGAAAUGUUAGCCCCUGCCCGUCUUCCGCCCAGUGCCGGUCCACCACUUCCACUGCUUUUAACUGGUUUAUCUGGAAAUAGCUCUACAUGUCUAAACAGCAUCCUUACUCUACAAGUCUUGAUGAUUUUUAAGUUUUAAUUGUUACCUGUUGACUUCCUAGCAUGGGAAGAAAGGAUUUAACCCUCCCCUCCCGUCACGGACACAGACACACCCCUCCGCACCCCCCACCCUCCUCUUCCAUCCGUUCUGUAUGCGGAUCGUACGUUUUGGUGGGAUAUUCGGAUGUCACACUGGGUUCACAGUUAAGUCAGAUAACAUGUGUGAUGACACGCAGCUGCACGUCUUUGCGUACACAAAUUGUUUCCCUGAAGGUAAUAAUUGCAUUGCUUUCCUGUUUGCUGAGUGUUCUCCUGGUAUCACUCGUUCGGCCCAGAAUCUUUAUAAAAGUGUCGCAUGUCCUUUCACUGCACCCGCACACGUGUGCCAUCUCUCAGCCCCUGGAGCCCAUGUCUCUGGGGGUCCCACCUCCUUGGUUCCGCGCUGGGCUGGCCGCUCUCGAGACCCACCGCGUCACCGCAUCCCCGGGCUCCCGGGCCUGGGCUCCGUUCCCGUCCUCCUGGGGAACGCGGCCCCCCCCUCGCUCUGCUGUGGCUUCUCUGCCUCCUGGAUCCCGUGGCUUCUUCCUGCUUGUUUUCCUCCUUCGCUUUGUAGAAGCACGUUGUCCAGUAAUGUCUCCAAAAGAGGAAGGAUGGCUUUUGUUUCUGGAGGGUGCACACCUGAAACGGUCUUUAUUCCACGCUUCCAUGUGGUUGAUUAUUUGAUUGGACACAGAAUUACCAAUACAGCUCAGAAACAUUUUU